Gallus gallus (chicken) is the source of this 4407-nucleotide long non-coding RNA. Lineage: Eukaryota; Metazoa; Chordata; Aves; Galliformes; Phasianidae. The record is from Ensembl.
GGGGUGUCGUCCACCCGCCUGUAAUCAGGGUCUGGGUGCGCGAGCGUUUGUGCUCUGCUGGCAGCCUGUGUGGGGUGACCGCCCCGUUAGCGGGGUGUGGGUCGAGGUGCCCCGGACUGGGAGAGAAGGAGCCUCUCCCGGCCGUAGGGAUGGGGGCUGCCCUGUAAGUCAGGGAGCAACCGUGCCCCGGAGUCCCAGGCCCUUUGCGUUGGAGGCAGUGGCUGGGGGCCCCCUGUAAGCAGGGAAGCUGGCUCUUUGGCCGCUGCUUUUUGUACGCCCAGCCCCAUUUGCCCAGCCUGCCCGCCUCUGUGAUCCCCCGCAGCACCGGCUGGAAGUCCGCCGCGCGUCAGUGAGGAGCUGCUGCAGAAGAAAGAAGAAGCAGCGGCGUGGGGACCUGGGCGGCAGGAGCGAGCAAGAAGAGGAUGCGGAAGCGUGCAGAUGCGGGGGGGAAGGAGAGAGGCUCCCUGGGCAAAGCACCUGUCCCGUUAGCGGGGCCGCAGUCGCAUUUGAGUUGAGCGUUGCCGGCGCCUUUGGCGACCCGGCCGGCUUUGUGCUGGGCGACCUCCCUGUAAGCAGGGCUCGGGUCUUUGCUGUAGUUGGCCUUUUGCCUUGCUGCUCCUAGGGCUGCCUGGGGAGCGUGGCCCCCUGUAACGGAGGGCGAGAGCCACCUCUCCGCACCUGAGUGGGAAAUGGAGCUCGCCGGACCCCGAGGCCACCCUGUAAGCAGGGUAGUGCCGCUUCCCUGCCCCUCUUUGUCCUCCGGCCCCUCGGCAUCGUUGCCUGGUGGUGGCCUGUCAAUGCGACGGCCCCGUACUCGGGGUGCGCGCCACGGCAUUUGGCCUUUGGCUUUACCCGAGGAGCCCCUUGGCACGUUGAGGUCUGUGGCCUCCGUGCAGCCUAGGGACAGGUCACAGGCUCUUGUCUGUUGCUUGUGGUUGUGGGUUUAUUCCCAGGUGUUGGCUGCGCUGGGUUGUCCUUCCCUUCUGGAAAGUCGCGCCUGCGUGUGUGCGUUCCCCUUCCUUUCCUUGUUUGCGUUUGUGGAGCGACUGAGCGACUGAGCUUUCCCUUUAGGCCUCCCCAGAGACGGCUGCAGCUUAGCUUUGACUUCCCGGGGGGGAACGGAGGACUUUGGUGCAUGCCGCAAGAGGGGUGUUCCCUGCUAGUCCCGCGAGCGCAGCGAGUGUCCUGUCUUCCUCCUUUUUACUUAGUCCAGAUCAGAGCCACGCGGUAGUUGUGUGGCCGAGGCCGCCCUGUAGCCAGGGCUUGGGCCUGUCCUUGCGUGGCCGCCUGUUCUGCUGGCGGCGUGGCAGCCCUGUAGUCGGGGUGUGUGUCCCAAGCUUAGGAGCCCUCUGUCCCUUGAGCAGCCCGCCCGCCCGCCCUGUACUCAGGUGUGGGGAGGCUGCAGCGUUGCAGCCGGCUGCUUUAGCCAUCCAGCUGGUGGGAAUGACCCCUCCCUGUCCCGUCAGAGGGUGCAGGUUGAGGUGCUGCUUGCGUGUGGGGUGACCUCCCCGCUCGGUGGGUCGAGGCUGCUCCCUGGGUUCCCCAAGAGAAGACGUUGGUGAUGUUCUGCUGCUGCCGGGCGGGCCCGCCUGUAGCUCAGGCGUUGGCGGGAGCCUCGUGCUCCGCGGGGCUUCUUGGAGAGGGUGAGGUGCGGGGGUACGGUCCUGUAGGCAGGGCUGUGUGUGCCCCCCGUGUGUGCUUGCUGAGCUGUGUUCCGAGAGACCCCCCCCCCCCCCCCCCCCCCCCCGGACUCGGGUGGGAAUGUGGCCCCGGCCUUUCAGAGGCACGGGGCUGCGAGGUGUGGGCUUGGGCUUGCGCCCUCCCUGGAAGUUGAGGCUGGGAUCCCGACUGCGGCCUUUGGCCGUGCCGCCCCGCUGCCUGGCUGCUGAGAGUUGUUCCUGCCGCUGGGGGGGAAACCGAGCUCUGUGGCUCCAGGGGUGUCGUCCACCCGCCUGUAAUCAGGGUCUGGGUGCGCGAGCGUUUGUGCUCUGCUGGCAGCCUGUGUGGGGUGACCGCCCCGUUAGCGGGGUGUGGGUCGAGGUGCCCCGGACUGGGAGAGAAGGAGCCUCUCCCGGCCGUAGGGAUGGGGGCUGCCCUGUAAGUCAGGGAGCAACCGUGCCCCGGAGUCCCAGGCCCUUUGCGUUGGAGGCAGUGGCUGGGGGCCCCCUGUAAGCAGGGAAGCUGGCUCUUUGGCCGCUGCUUUUUGUACGCCCAGCCCCAUUUGCCCAGCCUGCCCGCCUCUGUGAUCCCCCGCAGCACCGGCUGGAAGUCCGCCGCGCGUCAGUGAGGAGCUGCUGCAGAAGAAAGAAGAAGCAGCGGCGUGGGGACCUGGGCGGCAGGAGCGAGCAAGAAGAGGAUGCGGAAGCGUGCAGAUGCGGGGGGGAAGGAGAGAGGCUCCCUGGGCAAAGCACCUGUCCCGUUAGCGGGGCCGCAGUCGCAUUUGAGUUGAGCGUUGCCGGCGCCUUUGGCGACCCGGCCGGCUUUGUGCUGGGCGACCUCCCUGUAAGCAGGGCUCGGGUCUUUGCUGUAGUUGGCCUUUUGCCUUGCUGCUCCUAGGGCUGCCUGGGGAGCGUGGCCCCCUGUAACGGAGGGCGAGAGCCACCUCUCCGCACCUGAGUGGGAAAUGGAGCUCGCCGGACCCCGAGGCCACCCUGUAAGCAGGGUAGUGCCGCUUCCCUGCCCCUCUUUGUCCUCCGGCCCCUCGGCAUCGUUGCCUGGUGGUGGCCUGUCAAUGCGACGGCCCCGUACUCGGGGUGCGCGCCACGGCAUUUGGCCUUUGGCUUUACCCGAGGAGCCCCUUGGCACGUUGAGGUCUGUGGCCUCCGUGCAGCCUAGGGACAGGUCACAGGCUCUUGUCUGUUGCUUGUGGUUGUGGGUUUAUUCCCAGGUGUUGGCUGCGCUGGGUUGUCCUUCCCUUCUGGAAAGUCGCGCCUGCGUGUGUGCGUUCCCCUUCCUUUCCUUGUUUGCGUUUGUGGAGCGACUGAGCGACUGAGCUUUCCCUUUAGGCCUCCCCAGAGACGGCUGCAGCUUAGCUUUGACUUCCCGGGGGGGAACGGAGGACUUUGGUGCAUGCCGCAAGAGGGGUGUUCCCUGCUAGUCCCGCGAGCGCAGCGAGUGUCCUGUCUUCCUCCUUUUUACUUAGUCCAGAUCAGAGCCACGCGGUAGUUGUGUGGCCGAGGCCGCCCUGUAGCCAGGGCUUGGGCCUGUCCUUGCGUGGCCGCCUGUUCUGCUGGCGGCGUGGCAGCCCUGUAGUCGGGGUGUGUGUCCCAAGCUUAGGAGCCCUCUGUCCCUUGAGCAGCCCGCCCGCCCGCCCUGUACUCAGGUGUGGGGAGGCUGCAGCGUUGCAGCCGGCUGCUUUAGCCAUCCAGCUGGUGGGAAUGACCCCUCCCUGUCCCGUCAGAGGGUGCAGGUUGAGGUGCUGCUUGCGUGUGGGGUGACCUCCCCGCUCGGUGGGUCGAGGCUGCUCCCUGGGUUCCCCAAGAGAAGACGUUGGUGAUGUUCUGCUGCUGCCGGGCGGGCCCGCCUGUAGCUCAGGCGUUGGCGGGAGCCUCGUGCUCCGCGGGGCUUCUUGGAGAGGGUGAGGUGCGGGGGUACGGUCCUGUAGGCAGGGCUGUGUGUGCCCCCCGUGUGUGCUUGGUGAGCUGUGUUCCGAGAGACCCCCCCCCCCCCUCCCGGCCGUACUCGGGUGGGAAUGUGGCCCCGGCCUUUCAGAGGCACGGGGCUGCGAGGUGUGGGCUUGGGCUUGCGCCCUCCCUGGAAGUUGAGGCUGGGAUCCCGACUGCGGCCUUUGGCCGUGCCGCCCCGCUGCCUGGCUGCUGAGAGUUGUUCCUGCCGCUGGGGGGGAAACCGAGCUCUGUGGCUCCAGGGGUGUCGUCCACCCGCCUGUAAUCAGGGUCUGGGUGCGCGAGCGUUUGUGCUCUGCUGGCAGCCUGUGUGGGGUGACCGCCCCGUUAGCGGGGUGUGGGUCGAGGUGCCCCGGACUGGGAGAGAAGGAGCCUCUCCCGGCCGUAGGGAUGGGGGCUGCCCUGUAAGUCAGGGAGCAACCGUGCCCCGGAGUCCCAGGCCCUUUGCGUUGGAGGCAGUGGCUGGGGGCCCCCUGUAAGCAGGGAAGCUGGCUCUUUGGCCGCUGCUUUUUGUACGCCCAGCCCCAUUUGCCCAGCCUGUCCGCCUCUGUGAUCCCCCGCAGCACCGGCUGGAAGUCCGCCGCGCGUCAGUGAGGAGCUGCUGCAGAAGAAAGAAGAAGCAGCAGCGUGGGGACCUGGGCUUCAAAUCAAGUUAGCAAUCUGUUUGUGUGUUUAUCUCAUUAUCAUUUUAUUUGGAGCCUCAGUUUGAAUGGUUUUUUAUGACUUUAUCAGCCUUUUUCGCAGCACAGUCAGCUGAGAAUAAAUUUUUUAUGUUGUUCUUCCU